Molecule: ribosomal RNA, 501 nt
Filed under: Vibrio sp. 1WS12
Lineage: Bacteria; Pseudomonadati; Pseudomonadota; Gammaproteobacteria; Vibrionales; Vibrionaceae
Description: bacterial SSU rRNA
Rfam family: Bacterial small subunit ribosomal RNA
Source: RNAcentral
CUGAUGCAGCCAUGCCGCGUGUAUGAAGAAGGCCUUCGGGUUGUAAAGUACUUCAGUUGUGAGGAAGGGGGUGUAGUUAAUAGCUGCAUCUCUUGACGUUAGCAACAGAAGAAGCACCGGCUAACUCCGUGCCAGCAGCCGCGGUAAUACGGAGGGUGCGAGCGUUAAUCGGAAUUACUGGGCGUAAAGCGCAUGCAGGUGGUUCAUUAAGUCAGAUGUGAAAGCCCGGGGCUCAACCUCGGAACUGCAUUUGAAACUGGUGAACUAGAGUACUGUAGAGGGGGGUAGAAUUUCAGGUGUAGCGGUGAAAUGCGUAGAGAUCUGAAGGAAUACCAGUGGCGAAGGCGGCCCCCUGGACAGAUACUGACACUCAGAUGCGAAAGCGUGGGGAGCAAACAGGAUUAGAUACCCUGGUAGUCCACGCCGUAAACGAUGUCUACUUGGAGGUUGUGGCCUUGAGCCGUGGCUUUCGGAGCUAACGCGUUAAGUAGACCGCCUGGG